RNAcentral lists this ribosomal RNA (482 nucleotides) under uncultured bacterium. RNAcentral's name for it is "partial 16S ribosomal RNA". It matches the Rfam family "Bacterial small subunit ribosomal RNA", at positions 28 to 507 of the family's 1533-position model. The record is from RNAcentral.
GACGAACGCUGGCGGCGUGCUUAACACAUGCAAGUCGAACGAUGAAGAAGAGAAACGCGAACUUCGGUUCAACUUUCACUUCGGAUUAGUGGCAGACGGGUGAGUAACGCGUGAGCAACCUACCUCUUACAAAGGGAUAGCCUCGGGAAACCGUGAUUAAUACCAUAUGACACAUUCAUAAGGCAUCUUAAGACUGUUAAAGCUACGGCGGUAAGAGAUGGGCUCGCGUCCCAUUAGCUAGUUGGUGAGGUAACGGCCCACCAAGGCGACGAUGGGUAACCGGCCUGAGAGGGUGAACGGUAACAUUGGAACUGAGACACGGUCCAAACUCCUACGGGAGGCAGCAGUGGGGAAUAUUGCACAAUGGAGGGAACUCUGAUGCAGCGACGCCGCGUGGGCGAUGAAGGAAUUCGUUUCGUAAAGCUCUGUUCUAUGGGAAGAAAAGGACUGUACCAUAGGAGAAAGCCCCGGCUAAAUACGUG